This is a non-coding RNA of Nicotiana sylvestris (wood tobacco), 107 nucleotides long. NCBI's taxonomy places the organism in Eukaryota, Viridiplantae, Streptophyta, Magnoliopsida, Solanales, Solanaceae. The record is from Rfam.
AUUCCACUAUGUUGACGCUUUCUAACUAUCUCCUUAAACCUCUCCCAUGUUUCAAAAAUAGUUUCAAUCUCUUUCUGGAAAAAGUUAUGAAUUUCUCUUCUAAACUU